UUCUUUGCUCUUCUCGGUCACAUCAUAGAUCUUGGUGAUGAAGACCAGAAGAGCAAAGAAGA
Molecule: microRNA precursor, 62 nt
Filed under: Pristionchus pacificus
Lineage: Eukaryota; Metazoa; Nematoda; Chromadorea; Rhabditida; Neodiplogasteridae
Description: microRNA ppc-mir-8332 precursor
Source: miRBase by way of RNAcentral